Non-coding RNA from Flavobacterium sp. LM5, 109 nucleotides. The record is from Rfam. NCBI's taxonomy places the organism in Bacteria, Pseudomonadati, Bacteroidota, Flavobacteriia, Flavobacteriales, Flavobacteriaceae.
UAAGGUGGUUAUUGCGGCGGGGCUCACCUCUUCCCAUUCCGAACAGAGAAGUUAAGCCCGCCUGCGCAGAUGGUACUGCAAUUUGUGGGAGAGUAUGUCGCCGCCUUUC